This 204-nucleotide ribosomal RNA is filed under the name uncultured bacterium. RNAcentral's name for it is "partial 16S ribosomal RNA". It matches the Rfam family "Bacterial small subunit ribosomal RNA", at positions 524 to 726 of the family's 1533-position model. The record is from RNAcentral.
UACGAGGGGGGCAAGCGUUGUUCGGAAUUAUUGGGCGUAAAGGGCGCGUAGGCGGUGCGGUAAGUCUGAUGUGAAUCUCCGGGCUCAACUCGGAGUCUGCAUCAGAAACUGCCGUGCUCGAGUGUGGGAGAGGUGAGUGGAAUUCCCGGUGUAGCGGUGAAAUGCGUAGAUAAUCGGGAGGAACACCUGUGGCGAAAGCGGGCU